UACGUAGGGUGCAAGCGUUGUCCGGAAUUACUGGGCGUAAAGAGCUCGUAGGUGGUUUGUCGCGUUGUUCGUGAAAACUCACAGCUCAACUGUGGGCGUGCGGGCGAUACGGGCAGACUGGAGUACUGCAGGGGAGACUGGAAUUCCUGGUGUAGCGGUGGAAUGCGCAGAUAUCAGGAGGAACACCGAUGGCGAAGGCAGGUCUCUGGGCCGAUACUGACGCUGAGGAGCGAAAGCGUGGGGAGCGAACAGG
RNAcentral lists this ribosomal RNA (253 nucleotides) under uncultured bacterium. RNAcentral describes it as "partial 16S ribosomal RNA". It matches the Rfam family "Bacterial small subunit ribosomal RNA", at positions 524 to 776 of the family's 1533-position model. The record is from RNAcentral.